Molecule: ribosomal RNA, 505 nt
Filed under: uncultured bacterium
Lineage: Bacteria
Description: partial 16S ribosomal RNA
Rfam family: Bacterial small subunit ribosomal RNA
Source: RNAcentral
GACGAACGCUGGCGGCGUGCCUAAUACAUGCAAGUAGAACGCACAGUUUAUACCGUAGCUUGCUACACCAUAAACUGUGAGUUGCGAACGGGUGAGUAACGCGUAGGUAACCUGCCUGGUAGCGGGGGAUAACUAUUGGAAACGAUAGCUAAUACCGCAUAAUAUUAAUUAUUGCAUGAUAAUUGAUUGAAAGAUGCAAUUGCAUCACUACCAGAUGGACCUGCGUUGUAUUAGCUAGUAGGUGAGGUAACGGCUCACCUAGGCGACGAUACAUAGCCGACCUGAGAGGGUGAUCGGCCACACUGGGACUGAGACACGGCCCAGACUCCUACGGGAGGCAGCAGUAGGGAAUCUUCGGCAAUGGACGAAAGUCUGACCGAGCAACGCCGCGUGAGUGAAGAAGGUUUUCGGAUCGUAAAGCUCUGUUGUAAGAGAAGAACGGGUGUGAGAGUGGAAAGUUCACACUGUGACGGUAUCUUACCAGAAAGAGACGGCUAACUACGUG